Molecule: long non-coding RNA, 351 nt
Filed under: Rattus norvegicus (Norway rat)
Lineage: Eukaryota; Metazoa; Chordata; Mammalia; Rodentia; Muridae
Description: long non-coding RNA NONRATT007700
Source: RNAcentral
AGUUUGUGGAACUUGUCACGAAGAUCCUCCUGGGGUUGGCGUGGCACUUAGGCCUCCCGACAAAGAGCUUGGAAGAGUUACUCGAUGAUGGCACCCGUGCCGCCACAGUUACCCAGAGACCAGUGAAGGCCUGAGGAGUUGAAAGAAAACACAAAAGCGGAGACUCUCAGAUCCUCAUAAUGACCCCAAGAUCUCCAAGAAGAAAGUGGACGCAGCAACAAAGGACUCCACCUAAUUGUGCUAAUACCGGGCAAGAUCUCCCCAGUGCCUCUCCGACUGCUAGGGCAUAGCCUACACUCUGGGGAAUAAAAGAAGUCCUAAGACUUGGAUCCACCUGCCAGAAGUUAAAAG